GAUGAAGAACGUAGCAAAAUGCGAUACUUGGUGUGAAUUGCAGAAUCCCGUGAACCAUCGAGUUUUUGAACGCAAGUUGCGCCCGAAGCCUUUUGGCCGAGGGCACGUCUGCCAGGGCGUCACGCAUCGCGUCGCCCCCCACAAUUCUCCGUAAAGGGAACGUGUGUUUUGGGGGCGGAUAUUGGUCUCCCGUGCUCAUGGCGUGGUUGGCCGAAAUAGGAGUCCUUUCGAUGGACGCACGAACUAGUGGUGGUCGUAAAAACCCUCGUCUUUUGUUUCGUGCUGUUGCUCGCAAGGUAAACUCUUUAAAAACCCCAAUGUGUCGUCUCUUGACGACGCUUCGACCGCGACCCCAGGUCAGGCGGGACUACCCGCUGAGUUUAAGCAUAUCAAUAAGCGGAGGA
RNAcentral lists this unclassified non-coding RNA (404 nucleotides) under soil metagenome. Its description in RNAcentral is "partial contains 5.8S ribosomal RNA, internal transcribed spacer 2, and large subunit ribosomal RNA". The stretch from base 1 to 122 matches the Rfam family "5.8S ribosomal RNA", at positions 35 to 154 of the family's 154-position model. The record is from RNAcentral.